This 492-nucleotide ribosomal RNA is filed under the name uncultured bacterium. RNAcentral describes it as "partial 16S ribosomal RNA". It matches the Rfam family "Bacterial small subunit ribosomal RNA", at positions 29 to 507 of the family's 1533-position model. The record is from RNAcentral.
AGUGAACGCUGGCGGUAGGCCUAACACAUGCAAGUCGAACGGCAGCACAGUAAGAGCUUGCUCUUACGGGUGGCGAGUGGCGGACGGGUGAGGAAUACAUCGGACUCUACUUUUUCGUGGGGGAUAACGUAGGGAAACUUACGCUAAUACCGCAUACGACCUACGGGUGAAAGCAGGGGAUCUUCGGACCUUGCGCGAUUGAAUGAGCCGAUGUCGGAUUAGCUAGUUGGCGGGGUAAGGGCCCACCAAGGCGACGAUCCGUAGCUGGUCUGAGAGGAUGAUCAGCCACACUGGAACUGAGACACGGUCCAGACUCCUACGGGAGGCAGCAGUGGGGAAUAUUGGACAAUGGGCGCAAGCCUGAUCCAGCCAGACCGCGUGGGUGAAGAAGGCCUUCGGGUUGUAAAGCCCUUUUGUUGUGAAAGAAAAGCAGCAGGUUAAUACCCCGCCGUUCUGACGGUACCCAAAGAAUAAGCACCGGCUAACUUCGUG